GGUUCCAUGGUGUAAUGUUUAGCACUCUGAAGCCAGCGAUCCGAGUUCAAAUCUCGGUAGAACCU
RNAcentral lists this transfer RNA (65 nucleotides) under Chelonia mydas (Green sea turtle). It matches the Rfam family "tRNA". Rfam says of the family: Transfer RNA (tRNA) molecules are approximately 80 nucleotides in length. The record is from Rfam by way of RNAcentral. Lineage: Eukaryota; Metazoa; Chordata; Testudines; Cheloniidae.